UUACGGCCACACCACGUUAAAACACCGGUUCUCGUACGAUCACCGAAGUUAAGCAACGUCUGACCUGGUUAGUACCUAGAUGGGUGACCGCUUGGGAAUACCAGGUACUGUAAG
Non-coding RNA from Acanthosepion pharaonis, 114 nucleotides. The record is from the annotation of a GenBank genome assembly. NCBI's taxonomy places the organism in Eukaryota, Metazoa, Mollusca, Cephalopoda, Sepiida, Sepiidae.